UGUAGACAUCACCCUGCCCACUUUUUAGCAUAUUUAGACAGCCUUGUUAAAUCAAAGCCAGAAGAUGAAAGGUUGUCCCUGCUUCAAUCUCUUCUUAAUCCUGAAGCAUUGCGACUGGAUUGGCUUUGUCUGGCAGUUUCUCAUGAUGCGCCACAAAGAACAAAUACAGUGUAUUCUGAAGGAAACCCUAGACCACGUUCACAUUUGUUUACCUGGGGCUAUAGCCAACUGAUUUUACUU
This is a non-coding RNA of Chelonoidis abingdonii (Abingdon island giant tortoise), 240 nucleotides long. The record is from RefSeq and is a predicted model, not a curated record. NCBI's taxonomy places the organism in Eukaryota, Metazoa, Chordata, Testudines, Testudinidae.